This 449-nucleotide ribosomal RNA is filed under the name uncultured bacterium. Its description in RNAcentral is "bacterial SSU rRNA". It matches the Rfam family "Bacterial small subunit ribosomal RNA", at positions 355 to 796 of the family's 1533-position model. The record is from RNAcentral.
UGGGGAAUUUUGGACAAUGGGGGCAACCCUGAUCCAGCCAUGCCGCGUGAGUGAAGAAGGCCUUCGGGUUGUAAAGCUCUUUCGGCCGGGACGAAAUCGCACGGGUGAAUAUCCUGUGUGGAUGACGGUACCGGAAGAAGAAGCACCGGCUAACUACGUGCCAGCAGCCGCGGUAAUACGUAGGGUGCGAGCGUUAAUCGGAAUUACUGGGCGUAAAGCGUGCGCAGGCGGUUUUGUAAGCCAGAUGUGAAAUCCCCGGGCUUAACCUGGGAACUGCAUUUGGGACUGCAAGGCUUGAGUACGGCAGAGGGGGGUAGAAUUCCUGGUGUAGCAGUGAAAUGCGUAGAUAUCAGGAGGAAUACCGAUGGCGAAGGCAGCCCCCUGGGUCGAUACUGACGCUCAUGCACGAAAGCGUGGGGAGCAAACAGGAUUAGAUACCCCCGUAGUCC